Molecule: ribosomal RNA, 253 nt
Filed under: uncultured bacterium
Lineage: Bacteria
Description: partial 16S ribosomal RNA
Rfam family: Bacterial small subunit ribosomal RNA
Source: RNAcentral
UACGUAGGGUGCAAGCGUUAUCCGGAUUCACUGGGUUUAAAGGGUGCGUAGGUGGUCAGGUAAGUCAGUGGUGAAAUCUCCGGGCUUAACUCGGAAACUGCCAUUGAUACUAUCUUUCUUGAAUACCGUGGAGGUCAGCGGAAUAUGUCAUGUAGCGGUGAAAUGCUUAGAUAUGACAUAGAACACCAAUUGCGAAGGCAGCUGGCUACACGAAUAUUGACACUGAUGCACGAAAGCGUGGGGAUCAAACAGG